UGGGGAAUCUUAGACAAUGGGCGCAAGCCUGAUCUAGCCAUGCCGCGUGAGCGAUGAAGGCCUUAGGGUUGUAAAGCUCUUUCGUGGGGGAAGAUAAUGACUGUACCCCAAGAAGAAGCCCCGGCUAACUCCGUGCCAGCAGCCGCGGUAAUACGGAGGGGGCUAGCGUUGUUCGGAAUUACUGGGCGUAAAGCGCACGUAGGCGGACUGGAAAGUCAGGGGUGAAAUCCCGGGGCUCAACCCCGGAACUGCCUUUGAAACUCCCAGUCUUGAGUUCGAGAGAGGUGAGUGGAAUUCCGAGUGUAGAGGUGAAAUUCGUAGAUAUUCGGAGGAACACCAGUGGCGAAGGCGGCUCACUGGCUCGAUACUGACGCUGAGGUGCGAAAGCGUGGGGAGCAAAC
RNAcentral lists this ribosomal RNA (401 nucleotides) under uncultured bacterium. RNAcentral describes it as "bacterial SSU rRNA". It matches the Rfam family "Bacterial small subunit ribosomal RNA", at positions 355 to 773 of the family's 1533-position model. The record is from RNAcentral.